RNAcentral lists this ribosomal RNA (576 nucleotides) under uncultured eukaryote. Its description in RNAcentral is "bacterial SSU rRNA". It matches the Rfam family "Eukaryotic small subunit ribosomal RNA", at positions 203 to 786 of the family's 1831-position model. The record is from RNAcentral.
UAUUUAUUAGAUAAAAAACCAAUGCCCUUCGGGGCUCCUUGGUGAUUCAUAAUAUCUUAACGAAUCGCAUGGCCUUGCGCCGGCGAUGGUUCAUUCAAAUUUCUGCCCUAUCAACUUUCGAUGGUAAGAUAGUGGCUUACCAUGGUCUCAACGGGUAACGGGGAAUUAGGGUUCUAUUCCGGAGAGGGAGCCUGAGAAACGGCUACCACAUCCAAGGAAGGCAGCAGGCGCGCAAAUUACCCAAUCCCAACUCAGGGAGGUAGUGACAAGAAAUAGCAAUGCGGGGCUUCUUGCUCUGCAAUUGGAAUGAGAACAAUUUAAAUCACUUAACGAGUAUCAAUUGGAGGGGAAGUCUGGGGCCAGCAGCCGCGGUAAUUCCAGCUCCCAUAGCGUAUAUGUAAAUUGGUGCCCGUUAAAAAGUCCGAGUUUAAACCUGGAACCUGGUUAAUCGGUCUUCCUAAUGAACGGCAGGGAUUCGGUCGGGUCUUUCCUUCUGGGGAGCCCUAUGCCCUUCACUGGGGGUAGUGGGGAACCAGGACUUUUACCUUGAAAAAAUUAGAGUGUUCAAAGCAGGCC